GAUGAACGCUGGCGGCGUGCCUAAUACAUGCAAGUCGAGCGAACGGACGAGAAGCUUGCUUCUCUGAUGUUAGCGGCGGACGGGUGAGUAACACGUGGAUAACCUACCUAUAAGACUGGGAUAACUUCGGGAAACCGGAGCUAAUACCGGAUGAUAUUUUGAACCGCAUGGUUCAAAAGUGAAAGACGGUCUUGCUGUCACUUAUAGAUGGAUCCGCGCUGCAUUAGCUAGUUGGUAAGGUAACGGCUUACCAAGGCAACGAUGCAUAGACGACCUGAGAGGCUGAUCGGCCACACUGGAACUGAGACACGGUCCAGACUCCUACGGGAGGCAGCAGUAGGGAAUCUUCCGCAAUGGGCGAAAGCCUGACGGAGCAACGCCGCGUGAGUGAUGAAGGUCUUCGGAUCGUAAAACUCUGUUAUUAGGGAAGAACAUAUGUGUAAGUAACUGUGCACAUCUUGACGGUACCUAAUCAGAAAGCCACGGCUAACUACGUG
RNAcentral lists this ribosomal RNA (497 nucleotides) under uncultured bacterium. RNAcentral's name for it is "partial 16S ribosomal RNA". It matches the Rfam family "Bacterial small subunit ribosomal RNA", at positions 28 to 507 of the family's 1533-position model. The record is from RNAcentral.